GUCCGUAUAGUUUAACCAAAACACUAGACUGUGAACCUAGAAAUAGAAAAAUUUCUUACGAACC
RNAcentral lists this transfer RNA (64 nucleotides) under Cercosaura ocellata. RNAcentral's name for it is "tRNA-His". It matches the Rfam family "tRNA". Rfam says of the family: Transfer RNA (tRNA) molecules are approximately 80 nucleotides in length. Their secondary structure includes four short double-helical elements and three loops (D, anti-codon, and T loops). Lineage: Eukaryota; Metazoa; Chordata; Lepidosauria; Squamata; Gymnophthalmidae. The record is from RNAcentral.